AGCGAACGCUGGCGGCAGGCCUAACACAUGCAAGUCGAACGAACCUUUCGGGGUUAGUGGCGGACGGGUGAGUAACACGUGGGAACGUGCCCUUAGGUUCGGAAUAACUCAGGGAAAGUUGUGCUAAUACCGAAUGUGCCCUUCGGGGGAAAGAUUUAUCGCCUUUAGAGCGGCCCGCGUCUGAUUAGCUAGUUGGUUGAGGUAAUGGCUCACCAAGGCGACGAUCAGUAGCUGGUCUGAGAGGAUGAUCAGCCACAUUGGGACUGAGACACGGCCCAAACUCCUACGGGAGGCAGCAGUGGGGAAUCUUGCGCAAUGGGCGAAAGCCUGACGCAGCCAUGCCGCGGGAAUGAUGAAGGUCUUAGGAUUGUAAAAUUCUUUCACCGGGGACGAUAAUGACGGUACCCGGAGAAGAAGCCCCGGCUAACUUCGUG
This 434-nucleotide ribosomal RNA is filed under the name uncultured bacterium. Its description in RNAcentral is "partial 16S ribosomal RNA". It matches the Rfam family "Bacterial small subunit ribosomal RNA", at positions 29 to 507 of the family's 1533-position model. The record is from RNAcentral.